GUGCUAGAAAAGUACACAAUUGAAAGCAAUGGGAAGUUGCAUGAAUAAUGAAAAAGACUUAGAAAGGUUCUCCAGCAUUUCCAGAAAGAGAAUAAUAGUAUUAGAGUUUCUCUGCCAUGUGCCUGUCCAAUUCCUACUUUUGGAAGUGAACUCCUUGAAGGCAAGGACCAGAUUUCUAUCCCUAGGACUCAGCACCAUACCUGAUACACUGUCCAGGAGUGCAAGUCCAUUUGGGAAAUCUAUUGACUGAAGAAAACUCUAGACCUGGGUGAGUUCUUAGUUAAUUUUCUUAUUUAUACAGCAAUCAUUUGUGAAAGAUUUAUUUUUGUACAAAGUAUAUUGAAAAAAUAUUAAGUUUUGCUUUUAAAAAUGUCCCAGUACUCAGAGACUUUACAGUUUAGUAGAAUAUAGAAGACCUUUGGGUUAUGAGUCACUUUUUGGAGAAGCACCAGUUGUGAUUGUACGCCCUACUUCUUGGAACUCCUUGAGCAGAGGUUCUUAAUUACAAGUCAUUGAAAAUAUUUAUGGAUAAAUUUCAUGGGAAUGAGGGAUGGGGAGAAGAGCAGUCUGAACUUGAAAGGGGAAAAAUAAUUCUCCUUUAAUUAUAAUAGAUUUCUUUGUAAUCUAAUGUAUUUUAUUUUACACAUUUAAAAGCAUCAUUCUGAGAGGGGAUCCAUUGGUAUGUAUAGAUCUAUAAAACAAAAUUAGAUAAAUACCCCUGUACUAUAAAGGGACUUCAGUGCCAACCUGCUAUUUCUAAAGAUCUAAAAAUGUAGGAUCAUCUGAUUUGAGGGAAAGAAAUCUUUUUGGUCUUUUUCCUGUGCCUCAAUUUGUCUGUUUCUAUAGGAGUUUUAUAUUUGUUCAUAUUGUUUUUCACCACUAAUAAUUAUAAAAAGAGUAGUUGGCAUUUCUAUGGCAUUCUAAGAUUUGUAAUUUUCUCAUUUGAGACUAUCAGCCCAAUAAUCAAUUUAGUUUUCUGUCUCAAUCUAUUUAACAUCUAUGGUAAAAUGAGAAGCA
RNAcentral lists this long non-coding RNA (1017 nucleotides) under Monodelphis domestica (gray short-tailed opossum). RNAcentral's name for it is "lncRNA (ENSMODG00000038982.1)". The record is from RNAcentral. Lineage: Eukaryota; Metazoa; Chordata; Mammalia; Didelphimorphia; Didelphidae.